This 449-nucleotide ribosomal RNA is filed under the name uncultured bacterium. RNAcentral describes it as "partial 16S ribosomal RNA". It matches the Rfam family "Bacterial small subunit ribosomal RNA", at positions 29 to 523 of the family's 1533-position model. The record is from RNAcentral.
AAUGAACGCUGGCGGCAUGCCUAACACAUGCAAGUCGAACGAAGGCUUCGGCCUUGGUGGCGCACGGGUGCGUAACGCGUGGGAAUCUGCCCUCAGGUUCGGAAUAACAGCGAGAAAUUGCUGCUAAUACCGGAUGAUAUCGCGAGAUCAAAGAUUUAUCGCCUGAGGAUGAGCCCGCGUAGGAUUAGCUAGUUGGUGUGGUAAAGGCGCACCAAGGCGACGAUCCUUAGCUGGUCUGAGAGGAUGAUCAGCCACACUGGGACUGAGACACGGCCCAGACUCCUACGGGAGGCAGCAGUGGGGAAUAUUGGACAAUGGGCGAAAGCCUGAUCCAGCAAUGCCGCGUGAGUGAUGAAGGCCUUAGGGUUGUAAAGCUCUUUUACCCGGGAUGAUAAUGACAGUACCGGGUGAAUAAGCUCCGGCUAACUCCGUGCCAGCAGCCGCAGUAA